UGGUCCCAGGCCCCCCGGACCCCGAUCGCCUAAAAUUUUUUCGGGCCAUCAAAUACGACCUAAGGAACCAUAGUCACCACCUCGCCAUGAUCGUUCCUCAUUAUUUGCAUUUUUCAGCCAAAAACCUAGAAUUCCACCCGAUUCCCAUAUUUGCUUGUGCUAUAGCCCAUGCCUUCCGAGUGGGCCGGGCCCCCGGACUCGGAUCACCUAAAAUUGUUUUGGGCCAUCAAAUAAGACCUAAGGAACCAUAGUCACCUUCCCUCCAUGAUUGUUUCUCAUUGUUUGCAUUUUUCGGCCAAAAACUAGAAUUUCGCCCGAUUCCCAUAUUUUCGUGUGCUAUAUCCACGCCUUCUAAGUGGUCCCGAAAACCCCGGACCUCGAUCGCCUAAAAUUUUUCCGGGCCAUCAAAUACCUCCUAAGGAACCAUAGUCACUGCCUCGCCAUGAUCGUUACUCAUUAUUUGCGUUUUUCGGCCAAAAAACUAGAAUUUCGCCCGAUUACCAUAUUUUUGUGCGCUCUUGCUCACGCCUUCCGAGUGGGCUGGGCCCCCGGACUCAGAUCACCUAAUAUUUUUUUGGGCCAUCAAAUAGUACCUAAGGAACCAUAGUCACCGCCUCGCCAUUAUCGUUCCUCAUGUUUUGCAUUUUUUGGCCAAAAAAUUAGAAUUCCGCCCGAUUCCCAUAUUUUUGUGUGCUAUAGUCCACGCCUUCCAAGUGGUCCCGGGACUCCCGGUCCCCGAUCGCCUAAAAUUUUUCCGGGACAUCAAAUAUGACCUAAGGAACCAUAGUAACCGCCCCGCCAUGAUCGUUCCUCAUUGUUUGCGUUUUUCGGCCAAACAACUAGAAUUCCGCGCGAUUUCCAUAUUUUCGUGUCCUUCCAAGUGGUCCUGGGACCCCCGGACCCCUAUCGCCUAAAAUCUUUCCGGACCAUCAAAUACGACCUAAGGAACCAUAGUCACCGCCCCGCCAUGAUCGUUCCUAGUUUUUUGCAUUUUUUGGCCAAAAAACUAGAUUUUCGCGCGAUUCCCAUAUUUUCGUGUGCUAAUAUUUUACAUCCCAGAGGGGCUAUAAUUGGAGAUACCAUUUUUUCUGGUACAAAAUUUCCUAUAAAAAUGGGAAAUGCCCUACCUUUGAGUGCGGUUUGAACUAUUGAUUUACGUAAUUGGAAAUAACCAAUUAGGUUUACGACGAAACCUAGAAAUCGAUCACUGAUCCAAUUUGAGUACCUCUGCAGGAUAGACCUCAACGAAAACUGAAGAGUAACGGCAGCAAGUGAUUGAGUUCAGUAGUUCCUCAUAUAAAAUUAUUGACUCUAGAGAUAUAGU
This 1324-nucleotide long non-coding RNA is filed under the name Nicotiana tabacum (common tobacco). RNAcentral's name for it is "long non-coding RNA (NTAB_LNC018837)". Lineage: Eukaryota; Viridiplantae; Streptophyta; Magnoliopsida; Solanales; Solanaceae. The record is from RNAcentral.